UGGGGAAUAUUGGACAAUGGGGGCAACCCUGAUCCAGCAAUGCCGCGUGUGUGAAGAAGGCCUGAGGGUUGUAAAGCACUUUCAGUGGGGAGGAGGAUUGAUAGGUUAAGAGCUAAUUAAUUGGACGUUACCCACAGAAGAAGCACCGGCUAACUCCGUGCCAGCAGCCGCGGUAAUACGGAGGGUGCAAGCGUUAAUCGGAAUUACUGGGCGUAAAGGGUGCGUAGGUUGUUAAUUAAGUUAUCUGUGAAAUUCCCGGGCUUAACCUGGGACGGUCAGAUAAGACUGGUUAACUCGAGUAUAGGAGAGGGUAGUGGAAUUUCCGGUGUAGCGGUGAAAUGCGUAGAGAUCGGAAGGAACACCAGUGGCGAAGGCGGCUACCUGGCCUGAUACUGACACUGAGGCACGAAAGCGUGGGGAGCAAACAGA
RNAcentral lists this ribosomal RNA (429 nucleotides) under uncultured bacterium. RNAcentral's name for it is "bacterial SSU rRNA". It matches the Rfam family "Bacterial small subunit ribosomal RNA", at positions 355 to 776 of the family's 1533-position model. The record is from RNAcentral.